GAGGACGACCAGCCACACUGGAACUGAGACACGGUCCAGACACCUACGGGUGGCAGCAGUCGAGAAUUUUUCUCAAUGGGCGCAAGCCUGAAGGAGCGACGCCGCGUGGGGGAUGAAGGGCUUCGGCUCGUAAACCCCUGUCAUUUGCGAACAAUUCUGUUGGUCGAAUAAGCCAGCAGUUGAUAGUAGCAAAAGAGGAAGGGACGGCUAACUCUGUGCCAGCAGCCGCGGUAAUACAGAGGUCCCAAGCGUUGUUCGGAUUCACUGGGCGUAAAGGGUGCGUAGGCGGUAAGGUAAGUUUGGUGUGAAAUCUCCAGGCCUAACCUGGAAACUGCACUGAAUACUAUCUUGCUCGAGGGUCGGAGGGGAGACUGGAAUUCUCGGUGUAGCAGUGAAAUGCGUAGAUAUCGAGAGGAACACCAGUGGCGAAGGCGAGUCUCUGGACGAUUCCUGACGCUGAGGCACGAAAGCUAGGGGAGCAAACAGGAUUAGAUACCCUGGUAGUCCUAGCCCUAAACGGUGCACAUUUGCUGUGAGCGGAAUCGACCCCGUUCGUGGCGUAGCUAACGCAUUAAAUGUGCCGCCUGGGAAGUACGGCCGCAAGGUUAAAACUCAAAGAAAUUGACGGGGGCCUGCACAAGCGGUGGAGUAUGUGGCUUAAUUCGAUUCAACGCGAAGAACCUUACCUGGCCUUGACAUGUAGGUAGUAGAAGGAUGAAAGUCUGACGAGGUAGCAAUACCAGCCUACACAGGUGCUGCAUGGCUGUCGUCAGCUCGUGUCGUGAGAUGUUGGGUUAAGUCCCGCAACGAGCGCAACCCUCGUGUCCUGUUGCAAUCCGAAUGAGAGUUCGGAGCACUCUGGACAGACUGCCUCAUUUAAAUGAGGAGGAAGGUGAGGAUGACGUCAAGUCAGGAUGGCCCUUACGGCCAGGGCUGCACACGUACUACAAUGCGCGGCACAAAGAGAAGCAAGACCGCAAGGUGGAGCAAAUCUCAAAAAACCGCGCCCAGUUCAGAUUGUCGGCUGCAACUCGCCGACAUGAAGCUGGAAUCGCUAGUAAUGGCGCAUCAGCUACGGCGCCGUGAAUACGUUCCCAGGCCUUGUACACACCGCCCGUCACAUCAUGAAAGCCGGUUGUACCCGAAGUCAGCGCGCCAACCGCAAGGAGGCAACUGCCGAAGGUAUGGCUGGUGAUUGGGAUGAAGUCGGAACAAGGUA
This 1219-nucleotide ribosomal RNA is filed under the name metagenome. RNAcentral describes it as "bacterial SSU rRNA". It matches the Rfam family "Bacterial small subunit ribosomal RNA", at positions 296 to 1498 of the family's 1533-position model. The record is from RNAcentral.